Molecule: RNA transcript, 8679 nt
Organism: Ficedula albicollis (Collared flycatcher)
Lineage: Eukaryota; Metazoa; Chordata; Aves; Passeriformes; Muscicapidae
Gene: SLC7A1
Gene name: solute carrier family 7 member 1
Exons: 12
Source: RefSeq, a predicted model, not a curated record
AGAUAAUGACUGAUAGUUAUGUGGAACUGGCAUCCAAGCAGCUGGCAUCUAAUAUAACACAUGCAGGAAGGAACUGGGUGUUCCCGUCCUAGAAUGUGAAAUAUUAGAGCUAGGACAAAAAAUAGCACUAAAAUAGGUUUUUUUUGUCAAAUCGUGCCAAAGUUAACUUGAAAAAUUGUAAUGUGGUAUGUGAUAACUUCUGCAAUUUCUCAAGAUUAAAUUGAUGGCAGUGAUGUCCAAACUCUUUAAAAGUGUUCACACUGUGCACUUUUCUGUCUUGGUGAACAGAAGAGUCUCCCAACAGGCCUGUUCUGCAGCUUAAUUUUUAUGCUGUUGCAAAGCUGGAUUGGGCAGGUGAGUGUUCCCAGCUGUGCUGCAGGUGCUGCCCACCGAUGCUGCAGAGGAUUUGGCUGUAGGUGAGCACAGACAUUGUUUGACAGGAUUGCAGGUGCUGGAGUUGGGACCUGAACACCCACUUACAGGUGAGUGUGGCAGGACAGUCUGUUCUGGGUGGAAAGGGGCCCCGAUGGCAUUCUCUGAGGAACUGCUCUGCAAGCCAAAGCCAAGCUCUUUUUUAAACUAGGUAAUUAUGUACAGUAAUAAUUAUGAUAUGCAGUUAGAUGCUGUUACAUGCAGUGUAUAUACUGUAUAAGACAUUGGGAGUGUAACAGUAGCCACGUUAGCACAGCAGAAGUUGGCUUUUACGCAAGCCCACUUAUUUUACAAAAUGCUGUCACAGUCUGGUGAUAGCUCUUUGUUGUUACUGUUUCAGUUCUCUAAAAUGACUUUUAUGGCCCAGACACUGUCCCCAACUUGCUUGGCGUAAGACCCCAGGUUCAGUCCUCAUCCCAGCAAGCUGCAUGUAGUUGGAUGCACUCAAAGGGAAACAAAAAGUGGCCCCAGAGGGCAAAGCCUGAGCACUUGCUGCAGGCAGGAGCUGUUCCACUUGCUGUGGUCACCACCAGCAUUCUGCCACAGGCUGACUUAUGCUCAGAUAACACGCAAAUUGUAUCUGAGUCUUUUUCCUUCUUGGAUACUCUAGCACUGGGGGUCAGAGCAGAGCUGGCCACUGGUGUGGUCCAGGCUCUGGUGUUCCAGCAUUGCACUGCUGGAAGGCAGCUGGAUUCUGUAAGGUCUCUCUACUUGGACAGCAGCCACCUAACUGGAGCUGUCAGGGACUUCUGCCAGCAUUAAAUUUGGACCUCUCUGGUAACAGAAAUGACCAGGUUUGGAGGAAGGUCAGGCCCUUAGGGGUGUAAGGAAAAGGUCAGUCAGGGCAGUAUCUAGAGCAAAGUUGAGGUUUGCGAGAGGCCAGACUAAAAGGAUUUUUCUUAUCUUGUCAUCUCAGCGUGAGUCUGAGGCCCACCACUUGUGUGUGUUACCAUCAGAGCAGAUGUCACGCAUGAACCCAGGCUGUGGGCUGGGUAUGGAGAGGAAAGGCUACUCCCAGCACCUGGGAGCACAUGCAAGGAACCUCGAGUGUGGCCAGAGCCUGGAGCGCGACGUUUGAUGAAAUCAUAGGACAGCACAUUGAAAAAUUUUGUAAAAAAUACAUGACGAUGGAUGCUCCUGGAGUGCUAGCAAAAUACCCAGACAUCUUUGCUGUGGUGAUAAUCAUCAUCCUAACAGGGCUUUUAGCUUUUGGCGUGAAAGAAUCUGCCCUGGUGAACAAAGUGUUCACCUGCAUCAAUGUCCUUGUCCUUGGAUUUGUCGUGAUCUCCGGCUUUGUGAAAGGAUCUGGUAAAAACUGGAACCUGACUGAACAGGACAUUUACAACACCAGCCAUAGCAUUUUCAAAGACAAUCAAACACAGGAAGAAAAGCUCUACGGUGUUGGAGGGUUUAUGCCCUAUGGAUGGAAAGGAGUUCUCUCAGGGGCAGCCACAUGUUUUUAUGCUUUUGUGGGAUUUGACUGUAUUGCUACUACAGGUGAGGAGGUAAAAAACCCUCAGAAGGCCAUUCCUAUUGGCAUUGUGGCAUCUCUUCUCAUCUGCUUUGUGGCAUAUUUUGGUGUGUCGGCUGCCCUGACGCUCAUGAUGCCUUACUACCAGCUGGAUACCAAUAGCCCUUUACCCAAUGCCUUUAAAUAUGUGGGUUGGGAUGGAGCCAAUUAUGCAGUGGCUGUCGGUUCCUUAUGUGCACUUUCUACAAGUCUCCUUGGAUCCAUGUUUCCAAUGCCUCGAAUAAUUUAUGCUAUGGCAGAAGAUGGACUUCUGUUUAAAUUUUUGGCUAAAGUCAACGAGAAGAGAAAAACUCCCUUAAUUGCAACAGUGACAUCAGGAGCUACUGCAGCUGUUAUGGCCUUUCUCUUUGACUUGAAAGAUCUUGUGGACCUCAUGUCCAUCGGGACCCUCCUGGCUUACUCCUUGGUAGCAGCAUGUGUGUUGGUAUUGAGGUACCAGCCAGAGCAGCCUAAUUUGGCAUACCAGAUGGCUAGGUCGACAGAGGAGACAGAUAACAAUGAGUCUGUGAGUACCAGUGAGUCACAGGCUGGGUUUCUGCCAGAGGAAGAGGAGAAGUUUUCCCUCAAAGCCAUACUAUGUUCCACAGAUUCAGAUCCUUCCAAAUUCUCUGGUUCGGUAGUGAACAUCUCAACCUUCAUCAUUGGUUUCCUUAUUGUGGGUAUCUGUAUCCUGACUUCCCUUGAGCCAAACAUUCUGAUAAACACUGUACAGAUUAUUGCUGCCAUCCUUGUUGUCACUAUCAUCUUCAUUAUACGGAAACAGCCUGAAAGCAAAACCAAACUCUCCUUUAAGGUACCUUUUCUACCCUUUCUUCCUGUUGGGAGUAUUUUUGUGAAUGUUUACCUCAUGCUGCAGCUAGAUGCAGGCACAUGGAUUCGAUUUGCAAUCUGGAUGCUCAUAGGCUUUAUCAUCUACUUUACCUACGGGAUAUGGCAUAGUGUGGAAGCCAGCUACGCAGCCUCUGCAGAAGUGGAGAGGAACACAGACACUGGCUCGGACAGCUGUAAAUGACUGUGUUUGGCUUACGGGCGACUGAAAGAAUGGCUGCAGUGAAAGAAACUUUGUGGUGGGGAUCCUGAACCAGAUUACACCUGUGAUCAGUUGUGCAGGAAUAAGGAAGUGGAAUGCAGACCUCCCCAACUCGGUUACUGCAGCUUGCAGUUUGUUUAGCAGCACAGUUAAAAGGGACCACAAGAUGAAAAGACACAGCUCUGGCAUAUUCCCAGCAGCACUGGCAGCUCAUCUGGGGCAUUUCCCUCUCUCCCUCUCGUUUUUUUUUAAUCCCAGUGUGUAGAAAGAGAACUGCUUCUGUGUGCAAAUGCUGCUAUGAAACCAGGCCUCACAAAUGUCCUUCUUUCAGUAGCCCCGGGAAUUACCUCCCCACAGAUACUCUACUCAAUUAUAUCUGGAGCAGAUUUUGCAGUGCUACUGUCAGGCAUAGACCAGGGUCCAUUCACCCUCUGUAUACGCACACAAAAAAAAGGGGUUCUCACCAAACGCUAGAUUUCACCAGGUUAACAAAGCGCCUGCAAGAUUUGCAUUCUUUAAAAUACCAGGUCUUACCUUUUUGUUUUAUUUAACUGGGUGUUAAAUAUGCUCACAUGCUUUAAAGCACGUCACUGCUGUGAAAUGUUGGGAAGGUUUGUGGUCGCUGAUUGUAGGUGAGUGAUUGCUCGCCAGCACAUAGGUAACAGCAGCAGCUGUUUCUCCCGACUGUGUACUCCACAAAGGAAUUGCCAGCUUUAGUCAGGAAACCAUGUGGUGCAAGUACUGCAAAGGCUUGAAAACAACCCGUGUCUCCAAAGAGCAGUCCCGCCUCUUUGCCUCAGAAACCACCAGUGGUGUGGCUGCAGUGGUGGGAGUGGCCAGCAGCACUGAGCUAGCUCUGAUGGCAAGUGGAGCCCUAUGUUCCUCCUCCCUCAUCAGUUUAGUGUGCUGGCUGCCUGGCAUUAGCAACUUGGGCUUGGCAUUGGCAGGCGGAGCACAUUCCUGCCCUGGGAAGGGAUGCACAGGAGGAUCCUCAGGGGCAUGAAGUUCUUACAUGAGCAGUGCCUGGUGUCUGCCCCCUGCCCAGGGAAGGCUGUGGGCUGUGCAGGGGCUUCUCAGGCCCAGCAGAGUGGGCAGCCCAGAAAACACCAUCAAGCUCUAGGGUCUGAUUGACUUGCUGAGGGGAGCUUUCCCUUUGGGGCUGGAGCCUCCCUGUAGUGAAAGGCAGAAAAUCUGGAGUUGAGACCAGAGUCUUUAUUUGAUUGGCAAUGUCUUGGUUUUGGCUGUGAUAUUUUUUGUUUUAAUUCUUUCUAAUAGCUUUCACUAGCCAAAUUAAUUCACUACCCUAAAAAGGCUUAUUAAAGCACUAUGAAGGUGAGCCAUGCCCAAGUAACGCCACUGAUCUAAAUUAACGCUUGAGCUUGUACUGAAAAACCAAUCAGAAUUGUGGAAUGGUUUGGGUUGGAAAGAGACCUUUGAAGAUCAUCUGGUCCAGCUUACCUGACAUCAGUAGGGACAUCUUUAACUAGAUCAGGUUGCUCAAAACCCUGUCCAACCUGCUCUCAAUCACUUCUGGGAUUGGAGCAUCCCAGAUUAAUACUGCAAAAAUCCUCUUUCCCGGUGUGAGUGGAUGCUUUCCUAGGUGUCCUUCAUACUACUGCCUCUGAACACUGGACAGUCUUUGUUUGUCAGCUUGGCUCUUGCUGAUGAAGUGACAGGCUGUUGCAUCUGUCAUUGAGUUGGAGAACUGAACAGACCCCCUGCAUGACUUGCCCAGGGUCUCACCAGGCAUCUGAUGCAGCAGAAGGGGGAAUCAGACCAUCUCCUGGAUUACAUGGCUGGAUUGUGGACCAUUUCUUGUGUUUCCAAGAGACUUUAUAGCCUUUCUGCCCAUUGAAGAGUUUUAAUCUUUUAAUUCUAGUACACUGGGAGGCUUUUCUUGUUAGGAUUGGAAUUUGAGGAAGUGAAGGCAAUGUGCUCAUUGCCUCCUAGGUGCACUCCAGGGUGUGCUAUGAGUGCAGCUUCCCCACAGAAUGAAGUAAGUUGGGGGUCUGCUCCAGGUGCUGGGUCUUGACCAUCCACCCAGCCUUUGCUCCUCGUGCAUAUGCUAAGUCUUAAAUGAACAGGGAGAGAUGAAUAUAGAAUUUAAAAGCCACUAAGUUGAAGUCUAUUUUGUUUAAACACAGACAAGGCCAACACACUCCACAGCCUCCCAAAAGGCACUGAAAAUAUGGCGGGAGGGCAACAAGAUGAAAACUCAGACAGGAUCAAAGUUUUGUAUUGUACUAAAAAUAUAAGGAUGUUUUUUCCUACCUGGCUACCAGCUUCUGUUCAAUGAAAACAUAGAGCUUGUGUCCUUGCCAAAGCUUCAUCUGCACUGAGCAAGCCAGGGGCCUGGUGAAGAAUGUUUCAGGAGGAUGUUAUCAGGCACAUUUCUGAGGUGGGGUAUGACCUGGUCCCUUUUUAAUCCUUGUGGCAAAUCCUGAGUGGCUCUGUGGCUGUCAGCAGGAGGGCAGCGUGAAGGGGACAGGGUAUUGAAACUGAGUGAACUGGAACAUUGGAGAGUUCAGGUGUUUGCUGAUGAGCCUGAACCACUGACAGAAACGUUCCUGUUAACCACAUGCUGCAUCAUGACACUUUAAUGGAAACAUUGCAGACCACACUCACUGUUCUGGGAGCUCCAAUGAUAUUGGAAGCAUCCUAGAAAAUGAGUCCAUGGAAACUCAGCCUGUGAGCCACUGUCAGGUAAUGCAGCUGACCAGCCCUGCUGCCAGGAAGCUAAUGACUAUGGCUUCAGCCUUUACCUUAAUGGGGUAACCCUCUAAUGGGGUUUUGCUUUGUUUCCCAUUCAUCCCAGUUUCUGUGUGCAGAGAAAACAUAGCAGGACAUGCUGAUCUGUAUGCACCAGCCCAUAGGUGCACUGGUGCACGGAUUUAUUAUCAGGAAUAUAUUACACUUAUCUGUACAUCAUAAUUGAAAUAAUACAAACUCUUCCUGUAAUCAUUAGCCACAUAAUAAAUGGGACCACAGAACUCCUGCUGUAUGGGAAGCUGUACAGAGGCUCCUCAGUGUCCAUGGGACACAACCACCAUCAGUGCAGAGACAAAAUACCUGAUUUUGCACUUGACAGUUUUUCCUUUCCUCCCCUGCCUGCUACCACCUUUGCUGCUGGGCAGCAACUGAGUGAACCUGUCUGUGCCAGCAGUCACUGGAGGUGCAAUCCCAGUGGGGCCAAAUGGUACCUUCCCACAAUAAAAAGGAGUUUUCCAUGCCCCCUGCUUGCUGCUGGCUCUUCUGCCAUCCCAUGGCUGAUACCUGCUCCCAGUGCCCAUGUCUGGAACCCCUUGGGAACAGCUGUAGGCUCAUUUUAUUGCUGCUACACCCUUCUACAUUGAGUAAAGAUUAACAAAAUCCAACAGCUUCCUUAAAGGCAGAGAUGAUAAAACCCUUUCUGCUUGGUGCUGGCUACAUUCCCUCUCCUGCCAAAGGCCAUCCUAUUUCCAAAUGGGAAGGUCCCCACAGUGGCACUGUUGUUCAGGAAGUUUCCAGCCCUGCAAAAGCAAACACUUCCCCUUGCUUGUCUUGGAACAGGGAUGGCCGAGGAGCAAGGACUGGAGCUAUGGCCCCUACCCUGCUGGGAAUCAAGCUCACCUUGCAUGGUUGCAGCUCCCUGCCAAGAGCAGGGCUUCCCAGCUUGGCCAUACACCUGAGGAUCUUCAUUUCCUGGGAAUGGCUGCCCCACUCAGGGGCUGCUCCCUUCCUCCCACUGUCCAAGUGACCUGGGCUUUUCUUUCACACCUACUUCAGUAUGCAGAGGCGAAGAAAGACUGAACAGAGGAAAAGUAUAAAAGAGGAAUAACCUUUUUUUUGGGAAAAAAGUGUUUCUGGGCUUGCACCAGAAGGAGCCACUCUUCACACCUGCCACAGGGACAGGUUGCUGGGUCCCUCUGGUUAGGCAGAACUACCUGCAGCUUUGCUAGUGAUUGGGCAGGCCCCAGAGGGUGUGCCAAGGAAGAAUCCAGUGAGAGGCAGGAUUGGGAGGCAAAAAUUAGAUAGGAAAGGGAUUGGUAUACCAAAUGAUGGUGGAGCUGGGUUUAGCCCCCAUUUUCCCACCAUAAAAGCCCCACUCCCAAUUCACUGCUGGAAGCAUGUCUUGAAUAUGACUUUAAACCAACAAAGUGAUAAGGUAAGCACUAGGUAUAAAGGGGAAAGAUGAAUAAAUUACAACAGGUUCAGCCAGCCUGUCCUGGGCCAAUAGUAUGUUUUAGUGCAUUUAAAGUUUUGAGUAGCAUCAAGAUAACAACUCCAGUUGUAUGAUCUCAGCCAUUUUUACCAAGGGUAAGAAGGAGAAUGCUAGAAACUACCAACAAUCCACUCUGACUAAUCUGAUGGCCUUCUGCAAUGGUGUGACUGUGCUGGUGAGUGGGGGAUGAGCAGCUAAUGUCAUCUACCUGGACUCUGCAAGGCCUUUGACAUAGUCCCACACAGCAUUGUAACCUGGGGAGAUACAGCUUUGAUGGGUGGAAGCUGGAUAUGGAAUUGGCUGGAUGGUUGCAUCCAGAACAGCUCAAUGUACAAAUGGCAGUCAGUAAGAAGUGGUGUCCCUCAGGGGUCCGUGUUGGGACUGAUACUGUGCAAUAUCCUAAAUGACACAGACAGUGGGAUCAGGUGCAUCCACAGCAAGCCUGUGGAUUGGCACCAAGUGAGUGGUUCAGUUGGUACACUGGAAGGAGGGGAUGCCAUCCAGGGGGAUCUGGACAGGCUUGAGAAGUGGGGCCAUGUGAACAUCAGGUUCAACAAGACCAAGUGCAAGGUCCUGCACAUAGGUGGGGGCAACCUGUGGUAUGAAUACAGGCUGGGGGAUAAAGAGACUGAGAACAGGCCUGCUGAGGACUUGGGAAUACUGGUGGAUGAGAGGCUGGACAUGGGUGCUCAAAGCCCAGAAAGUAAAUUGUAUCCUGGGCUGCAUCCAAAGCACUGUGCCCAGCAGGGCAAGGGCAGGGGUUCUGCCCUUCUGCUCUUGUGAGACCCAACCUGGAGUGCUGCAUCCGGCUCUGGGGAAAAUAAGGACAUGGACAUCUUGGAGUGAGUCUAGAGGAGGGCCACAAAGUUCUUAGAGGGCUGGAGCACGUCAGCCUGGAGAAGAGCAGACUCCUCAAGGGGGCCUAUAAGAAAAAUGGAGAGACUUUUUACCAGGGUCUGUAGUGAAAGGACAGGGGACCACAGUUUUAAAUUGAAAGAGGAUAGGUUUAGAUUGGACAUAAGGAAGAGAAUUUUUGUAGUGAGAGUGGUAGGAUACUGAACAGGUUGCCCAGAGAAGCUGUGGAUACCCCAUUCCUGGAAGUGUUCAAGGCCAGGUUGGAUGAAGCUCUGAGAAACCUGGGCUGGUGGAAAGUGUCUCUGCCCAUGGCAGUGGGGGCUGGACUAGAUAGUCUCAAAUUUCCCUUCUAACUCAAAUCACCCCAUGAGUCUGUGAUCUCACUGUAUCAGAAUUAUAAAGGUGGAAUGAAAGAUGACAAUGCUGUAGGUGUUGCAAAUAGCUGUGCAGUUAGUAAGUAUCAAAAUGAUUUAAGUUGUACUUGGCAAGAAGGGGCUUUGUGUGCAUGUGUGUGCCAGGUAUCUAUCUUUCAGGUUGUACUUGCUGGACACACUAAAAUCUAGCAAUGCAUUUCAACAAUAGUAGCUGGUGUGCCAUGAUCUAUUCUAACAAGAUGCUCAAUUUACUCAG